GCGCAGCAGUCGAGAAAACUUUACAAUGUGCGAAAGCACGAUAAGGGAACUCUGAGUGCCUCCUAAGGAGGCUGUUCAGGUGUCUAAAAAGCACCUGAAGGAAGGGCUGAGUAAGACCGGUGCCAGCCGCCGCGGUAACACCGGCAGCCCAAGUGGUAGCCACGUUUAUUGGGUCUAAAGCGUCCGUAGCCGGCUGGGGUAAGUUCCGUUGGGAAAUUUGGCUGCUUAACAGUCAAGCUUUCAGGGAAUACUGCCCGGCUUGGGGACCGGGGAGAGGGUCGAGAGGUACUCCGAGGGGGUAGGGGUGAAAUCCAUUAAUCC
RNAcentral lists this ribosomal RNA (321 nucleotides) under uncultured microorganism. Its description in RNAcentral is "bacterial SSU rRNA". It matches the Rfam family "Archaeal small subunit ribosomal RNA", at positions 330 to 648 of the family's 1478-position model. The record is from RNAcentral.